RNAcentral lists this ribosomal RNA (465 nucleotides) under uncultured bacterium. Its description in RNAcentral is "partial 16S ribosomal RNA". It matches the Rfam family "Bacterial small subunit ribosomal RNA", at positions 339 to 795 of the family's 1533-position model. The record is from RNAcentral.
CUACGGGCGGCUGCAGUGAGGAAUAUUGCGCAAUGGGGGAAACCCUGACGCAGCGACGCCGCGUGGAUGAUGAAGGCCUUCGGGUCGUAAAAUCCUGUCAGAAGGAAAGAAGUGUAUGGUAGCUAAUAUCUGCCAUACUUGACGGUACCUUCAAAGGAAGCACCGGCUAACUCCGUGCCAGCAGCCGCGGUAAUACGGAGGGUGCAAGCGUUGUUCGGAAUUACUGGGCGUAAAGCGCGCGUAGGCGGUUUUAUAAGUCAGAUGUGAAAGUCCACGGCUCAACCAUGGAAGUGCAUUUGAAACGGUAAGACUUGAGUAUUGGAGGGGGUAGUGGAAUUCCCGGUGUAGAGGUGAAAUUCGUAGAUAUCGGGAGGAAUACCGGUGGCGAAGGCGACUAUCUGGCCAAAUACUGACGCUGAGGUGCGAAAGCGUGGGGAGCAAACAGGAUUAGAUACCCGGGUAGUC